GGACAAGUGUGCGAAAAAUUGUUACAAGAAAAGAGAAAAGAAAAAUUGGAGGCUCUUUGAAUGCUCCGGAAAAAGAAAUAAAAAGAGAAAAGAAAAAUAGAACUCAUCAAAACGCACUUGUCCCAAUUAAACGACUUGAUUACAUUUGAAAUACUCAAUCAGUUGAGUAAAGUUAAAGAGUCGAUGUCGAACCCCUGUAUAUCAAAAUAAGCACAGGUACAAGAAACAUAACAGGAGUGCCGAGCCCAAACCCCUUGUGUAUCCGUUUGUNN
This 272-nucleotide long non-coding RNA is filed under the name Lathyrus oleraceus (garden pea). RNAcentral's name for it is "Pisum sativum (pea) long non-coding RNA (PSAT_LNC005228)". Lineage: Eukaryota; Viridiplantae; Streptophyta; Magnoliopsida; Fabales; Fabaceae. The record is from RNAcentral.